GCUCAGAUUGAACGCUGGCGGCAGGCCUAACACAUGCAAGUCGAACGGUAACAGGAAUCAGCUUGCUGAUUCGCUGACGAGUGGCGGACGGGUGAGUAAUGUCUGGGAAACUGCCUGAUGGAGGGGGAUAACUACUGGAAACGGUAGCUAAUACCGCAUAACGUCGCAAGACCAAAGAGGGGGACCUUCGGGCCUCUUGCCAUCGGAUGUGCCCAGAUGGGAUUAGCUAGUAGGUGGGGUAACGGCUCACCUAGGCGACGAUCCCUAGCUGGUUUGAGAGGAUGACCAGCCACACUGGAACUGAGACACGGUCCAGACUCCUACGGGAGGCAGCAGUGGGGAAUAUUGCACAAUGGGCGCAAGCCUGAUGCAGCCAUGCCGCGUGUAUGAAGAAGGCCUUCGGGUUGUAAAGUACUUUCAGCGGGGAGGAAGGGAGUAAAGUUAAUACCUUGCUCAUGACGUACCCGCAGAA
RNAcentral lists this ribosomal RNA (472 nucleotides) under Shigella sonnei. Its description in RNAcentral is "bacterial SSU rRNA". It matches the Rfam family "Bacterial small subunit ribosomal RNA", at positions 22 to 486 of the family's 1533-position model. The record is from RNAcentral. Lineage: Bacteria; Pseudomonadati; Pseudomonadota; Gammaproteobacteria; Enterobacterales; Enterobacteriaceae.